RNAcentral lists this ribosomal RNA (645 nucleotides) under uncultured bacterium. Its description in RNAcentral is "bacterial SSU rRNA". It matches the Rfam family "Bacterial small subunit ribosomal RNA", at positions 232 to 885 of the family's 1533-position model. The record is from RNAcentral.
CGCGGCCUAUCAGCUUGUUGGUGGGGUAAUGGCCUACCAAGGCGACGACGGGUAGCCGGCCUGAGAGGGCGACCGGCCGCACUGGGACUGAGACACGGCCCAGACUCCUACGGGAGGCAGCAGUGGGGAAUAUUGCACAAUGGGGGAAACCCUGAUGCAGCGACGCAGCGUGCGGGAUGACGGCCUUCGGGUUGUAAACCGCUUUCAGCAGGGAAGAAGCCGUAAGGUGACGGUACCUGCAGAAGAAGUACCGGCUAACUACGUGCCAGCAGCCGCGGUAAUACGUAGGGUACGAGCGUUGUCCGGAAUUAUUGGGCGUAAAGAGCUCGUAGGUGGUUGGUCACGUCUGCUGUGGAAACGCAACGCUUAACAUUGCGCGUGCAGUAGGUACGGGCUGACUAGAGUGCAGUAGGGGAGUCUGGAAUUCCUGGUGUAGCGGUGAAAUGCGCAGAUAUCAGGAGGAACACCGGUGGCGAAGGCGGGACUCUGGGCUGUAACUGACACUGAGGAGCGAAAGCAUGGGGAGCGAACAGGAUUAGAUACCCUGGUAGUCCAUGCCGUAAACGUUGGGCACUAGGUGUGGGGGACAUUCCACGUUCUCCGCGCCGUAGCUAACGCAUUAAGUGCCCCGCCUGGGGAGUACGG